CUGGAGGUAUCAGAAGUGCGAAUGCUGACAUAAGUAACGAUAAAGCGGGUGAAAAGCCCGCUCGCCGGAAGACCAAGGGUUCCUGUCCAACGUUAAUCGGGGCAGGGUGAGUCGACCCCUAAGGCGAGGCCGAAAGGCGUAGUCGAUGGGAAACAGGUUAAUAUUCCUGUACUUGGUGUUACUGCGAAGGGGGGACGGAGAAGGCUAUGUUGGCCGGGCGACGGUUGUCCCGGUUUAAGCGUGUAGGCUGGUUUUCCAGGCAAAUCCGGAAAAUCAAGGCUGAGGCGUGAUGACGAGGCACUACGGUGCUGAAGCAACAAAUGCCCUGCUUCCAGGAAAAGCCUCUAAGCAUCAGGUAACAUCAAAUCGUACCCCAAACCGACACAGGUGGUCAGGUAGAGAAUACCAAGGCGCUUGAGAGAACUCGGGUGAAGGAACUAGGCAAAAUGGUGCCGUAACUUCGGGAGAAGGCACGCUGAUAUGUAGGUGAAGUCCCUCGCGGAUGGAGCUGAAAUCAGUCGAAGAUACCAGCUGGCUGCAACUGUUUAUUAAAAACACAGCACUGUGCAAACACGAAAGUGGACGUAUACGGUGUGACGCCUGCCCGGUGCCGGAAGGUUAAUUGAUGGGGUUAGCGCAAGCGAAGCUCUUGAUCGAAGCCCCGGUAAACGGCGGCCGUAACUAUAACGGUCCUAAGGUAGCGAAAUUCCUUGUCGGGUAAGUUCCGACCUGCACGAAUGGCGUAAUGAUGGCCAGGCUGUCUCCACCCGAGACUCAGUGAAAUUGAACUCGCUGUGAAGAUGCAGUGUACCCGCGGCAAGACGGAAAGACCCCGUGAACCUUUACUAUAGCUUGACACUGAACAUUGAGCCUUGAUGUGUAGGAUAGGUGGGAGGCUUUGAAGUGUGGACGCCAGUCUGCAUGGAGCCGACCUUGAAAUACCACCCUUUAAUGUUUGAUGUUCUAACGUUGACCCGUAAUCCGGGUUGCGGACAGUGUCUGGUGGGUAGUUUGACUGGGGCGGUCUCCUCCUAAAGAGUAACGGAGGAGCACGAAGGUUGGCUAAUCCUGGUCGGACAUCAGGAGGUUAGUGCAAUGGCAUAAGCCAGCUUGACUGCGAGCGUGACGGCGCGAGCAGGUGCGAAAGCAGGUCAUAGUGAUCCGGUGGUUCUGAAUGGAAGGGCCAUCGCUCAACGGAUAAAAGGUACUCCGGGGAUAACAGGCUGAUACCGCCCAAGAGUUCAUAUCGACGGCGGUGUUUGGCACCUCGAUGUCGGCUCAUCACAUCCUGGGGCUGAAGUAGGUCCCAAGGGUAUGGCUGUUCGCCAUUUAAAGUGGUACGCGAGCUGGGUUUAGAACGUCGUGAGACAGUUCGGUCCCUAUCUGCCGUGGGCGCUGGAGAACUGAGGGGGGCUGCUCCUAGUACGAGAGGACCGGAGUGGACGCAUCACUGGUGUUCGGGUUGUCAUGCCAAUGGCACUGCCCGGUAGCUAAAUGCGGAAGAGAUAAGUGCUGAAAGCAUCUAAGCACGAAACUUGCCCCGAGAUGAGUUCUCCCUGACUCCUUGAGAGUCCUGAAGGAACGUUGAAGACGACGACGUUGAUAGGCCGGGUGUGUAAGCGCAGCGAUGCGUUGAGCUAACCGGUACUAAUGAACCGUGAGGCUUAACCUU
This 1672-nucleotide ribosomal RNA is filed under the name Escherichia coli. RNAcentral's name for it is "partial 23S ribosomal RNA". It matches the Rfam family "Bacterial large subunit ribosomal RNA", at positions 1273 to 2925 of the family's 2925-position model. Lineage: Bacteria; Pseudomonadati; Pseudomonadota; Gammaproteobacteria; Enterobacterales; Enterobacteriaceae. The record is from RNAcentral.